UAGUAUGAAUGGACACACGUAAGCUAAGCUGUCUCAUUAACAACCAUAAAAAUUAACCUUUGGGUGAAGAGACCCAAAUUAUAUAAAAAGACGAAAAGACCCUAUGGAGCUUUACUUAAAUAGAAAACCUAAUAAAUUACAUAAAAAAAAACUUCUUUAUAAAGUUUAGUUGGGGCGACUAAGGAGCACAAAAAAUCCUCCUUUUAAUAAAAGAAAAUAACUCUUCUACAGAUCCACCUAAGUGAAUAUAAAACCAGCUACCCUAGGGAUAACAGGCUAAUCCUCCUCGAGAGCCCAAAUUGACAGGAGGGGUUGGCACCUCGAUGUUGGCUUAAGGUUCCUUCAAAGUGCAGCAGCUUUGAGAGUAGGUUUGUUCACCCUUUAAAACCUU
Molecule: ribosomal RNA, 391 nt
Filed under: Prionospio sp. 268 PB
Lineage: Eukaryota; Metazoa; Annelida; Polychaeta; Spionida; Spionidae
Description: partial 16S ribosomal RNA
Rfam family: Bacterial large subunit ribosomal RNA
Source: RNAcentral